GCCUCCCUCCUGCUCUCUUUGGCUGUAGCCAUCUUGGUUGGGUUUAUUUGCAUACUCACUCUGAUUGGCUUGUGGGAGUGGCUUGU
Eptesicus fuscus (big brown bat) is the source of this 86-nucleotide non-coding RNA. The record is from RefSeq and is marked provisional. NCBI's taxonomy places the organism in Eukaryota, Metazoa, Chordata, Mammalia, Chiroptera, Vespertilionidae.